UACGUAGGGUGCGAGCGUUAAUCGGAAUUACUGGGCGUAAAGCGUGCGCAGGCGGUUUUGUAAGCCAGUUGUGAAAUCCCCGGGCUUAACCUGGGAAUGGCAUUUGGGACUGCAAGGCUCGAGUGCGGCAGAGGAGACUGGAAUUCCUGGUGUAGCAGUGAAAUGCGUAGAUAUCAGGAGGAACACCGAUGGCGAAGGCAGGUCUCUGGGCUGACACUGACGCUCAUGCACGAAAGCGUGGGGAGCAAACAGG
RNAcentral lists this ribosomal RNA (253 nucleotides) under uncultured bacterium. Its description in RNAcentral is "partial 16S ribosomal RNA". It matches the Rfam family "Bacterial small subunit ribosomal RNA", at positions 524 to 776 of the family's 1533-position model. The record is from RNAcentral.